This is a non-coding RNA of Corchorus olitorius, 779 nucleotides long. Lineage: Eukaryota; Viridiplantae; Streptophyta; Magnoliopsida; Malvales; Malvaceae. The record is from Rfam.
ACAAUGGAGAGUUUGAUCCUGGCUCAGGAUGAACGCUAGCGGCAGGCCUAAUACAUGCAAGUCAAACGGGUCGCAAGACCAGUGGCGUACGGGUGCGUAACGCGUAUGCAACCUACCUUUCACAGGAGGACAACAGCGGGAAACUGCUGCUAAUACUCCGUAUUACUUUGAGGCGGCAUCGUUUUAAAGUGAAAGAAGCAAUUUGGUGAGAGAUGGGCAUGCGUUCGAUUAGCUAGUUGGUGCGGGUAACGGCCCACCAAGGCGACGAUCGAUAGGGGCUCUGAGAGGAGAAUCCCCCACACUGGCACUGAGAUACGGGCCAGACUCCUACGGGAGGCAGCAGUAGGGAAUAUUGGGCAAUGGAGGAAACUCUGACCCAGCCAUGCCGCGUGCAGGAAGAAGGCCCUCUGGGUUGUAAACUGCUUUUGAUAGGGAAGAAAGAGGUCAUGCGUGACCAGUUGACGGUACCUAUCGAAUAAGCACCGGCUAACUACGUGCCAGCAGCCGCGGUAAUACGUAGGGUGCAAGCGUUGUCCGGAUUUAUUGGGUUUAAAGGGUGCGUAGGCGGUGGAUUAAGUCAGUGGUGAAAGACGAUCGCUCAACGAUUGCAGUGCCAUUGAUACUGGUUCACUUGAGUAGUGCAGAGGUGGCCGGAAUUGAUCGUGUAGCGGUGAAAUGCAUAGAUAUGAUCAAGAACGCCGAUUGCGAAGGCAGGUCACUGGACACUCACUGACGCUGAGGCACGAAAGUGUGGGGAUCAAACAGGAUUAGAUACCCUG